UGUUUGUUUCAGUCCUAAGACUAUUUUAAUAAUGGGAGGAGAAGAGGGGUCCACUACAAGGGAAAUUCUUAGGCACAACACUGUAGAAAAAGUUGUCAUGUGUGAUAUUGAUGAGGUAACUAAUUUUAAUGUUUGUUUCAGUUCUUUGGAAUGGAAAACUCAGGACUGUGCCCUCAAAACCAACUGAUUUGCCCUUCUUUGACCUGAUGAGCAUCGAUGAUAAAAGACAAGGCUGGGAAAUCAAGUAACUCUGCUGCUAUUUCAUGUCCAUAUUGUCGGGCCGGGACUUAUAUUUGCAGGUGAUGCUGGUGAUGAGGAUGAUGAUGAUGAUGAUCAGAAGGACUGAUUUGUUUUUUACCUUUAAAAACAAUGAAUGAGUGUGUGCUGUAUAAACAAUAUUUAUCAUGGUGUGUGCUGUAUAAAUAAUAUUUAUUAU
Molecule: long non-coding RNA, 436 nt
Organism: Asparagus officinalis (garden asparagus)
Lineage: Eukaryota; Viridiplantae; Streptophyta; Magnoliopsida; Asparagales; Asparagaceae
Exons: 3
Source: RefSeq, a predicted model, not a curated record